CCUACGGGAGGCAGCAGUAGGGAAUAUUGCUCAAUGGGGGAAACCCUGAAGCAGCGACGCCGCGUGAAGGAUGAAGUUUUUCGGAUUGUAAACUCCUUUUGUUAGGGAAGAUAGUAACGGUGUCUAACGAAUAACCACCGGCUAACUCCGUCCCAGCAGCCGCGGUAAUACGGCGGGUGCGGGCGUUAAUAGGAAUUACUGGGGGGAAAGAGCGCGGAGGCGGGGUAGCAAGUCAGAUGUGAAAGCCGAGGGCGUAAACCACGAACUGCAUUUGAAAAUGGUAUUCUAGAGGAUGGGAGAGGUAGGUGGAAUUCUUGGUGUAGCGGUGAAAUGCGUAGAGAUCAAGAGGAAGACUAAUUGCGAAGGCGACAUGCUAGAAUAUAACUGACGCUGAUGCGCGAAAGCGUGGGGAGCAAACAGGAUUAGAUACCCGAGUAGUC
RNAcentral lists this ribosomal RNA (440 nucleotides) under uncultured bacterium. RNAcentral's name for it is "partial 16S ribosomal RNA". It matches the Rfam family "Bacterial small subunit ribosomal RNA", at positions 338 to 795 of the family's 1533-position model. The record is from RNAcentral.